Molecule: transfer RNA, 83 nt
Filed under: Paramoeba pemaquidensis
Lineage: Eukaryota; Discosea; Flabellinia; Dactylopodida; Paramoebidae
Description: tRNA-Leu
Rfam family: tRNA
About the family: Transfer RNA (tRNA) molecules are approximately 80 nucleotides in length. Their secondary structure includes four short double-helical elements and three loops (D, anti-codon, and T loops).
Source: RNAcentral
UUUAAAGUGGUGGAAUGGUAGACACGGUAGACUUAAAAUCUAUUGCAAUUUAUUGCGUGAGGGUUCGAGUCCCUCCUUUGAAA